UGGCGAUGAUGACACUUUCUCACCUGAAGUGACCCUGAGGGGUGAAUCGAGCUUUUUAACCCUGAGCCCC
This 70-nucleotide small nucleolar RNA is filed under the name Procavia capensis (Cape rock hyrax). Lineage: Eukaryota; Metazoa; Chordata; Mammalia; Hyracoidea; Procaviidae. The record is from RNAcentral.